UCACAGCUGCAACCGCUCAACGCCGGUUUCAAACAGGUUCUGCCUGGCCGUCCUUGGCGAGUAUAAGAGGUAAA
This is a regulatory RNA element of Lactobacillus selangorensis, 74 nucleotides long. NCBI's taxonomy places the organism in Bacteria, Bacillati, Bacillota, Bacilli, Lactobacillales, Lactobacillaceae. The record is from Rfam.